This 492-nucleotide ribosomal RNA is filed under the name uncultured bacterium. RNAcentral describes it as "partial 16S ribosomal RNA". It matches the Rfam family "Bacterial small subunit ribosomal RNA", at positions 29 to 507 of the family's 1533-position model. The record is from RNAcentral.
AGUGAACGCUGGCGGUAGACCUAACACAUGCAAGUCGAACGGCAGCACAGUAAGAGCUUGCUCUUACGGGUGGCGAGUGGCGGACGGGUGAGGAAUACAUCGGAAUCUACUUUUUCGUGGGGGAUAACGUAGGGAAACUUACGCUAAUACCGCAUACGACCUACGGGUGAAAGCAGGGGAUCUUCGGACCUUGCGCGAUUGAAUGAGCCGAUGUCGGAUUAGUAAGUUGGCGGGGUAAAGGCCCACCAAGGCGACGAUCCGUAGAUUGUCUGAGAGAAUGAUCAGCCACACUGGAACUGAGACACGGUCCAGACUCCUACGGGAGGCAGCAGUGGGGAAUCUUGGACAAUGGGCGCAAGCCUGAUCCAGCCAUACCGCGUGGGUGGAGAAGGCCUUCCGGUUGUAAAGCCCUUUUGUUGGGAAAGAAAAGCGGCAGGUUAAUACCCCGCUGUUCUGACGGUACCCAAAGAAUAAGCACCGGCUAACUUCGUG